Molecule: ribosomal RNA, 497 nt
Filed under: uncultured bacterium
Lineage: Bacteria
Description: partial 16S ribosomal RNA
Rfam family: Bacterial small subunit ribosomal RNA
Source: RNAcentral
GAUGAACGCUGGCGGCGUGCCUAAUACAUGCAAGUCGAGCGAACGGACGAGAAGCUUGCUUCUCUGAUGUUAGCGGCGGACGGGUGAGUAACACGUGUAUAACCUACCUAUAAGACUGGUAUAACUUCGGGAAACCUGAGCUAAUACCGGAUAAUAUUUUUAACCUCAUGGUUCAAAAGUGUAUUACGGUCUUGCUGUCUCUUAUCGAUGUAUCCGCGCUGCAUUAGCUAGUUGUUAAGGUAACGGCUUACCAAGGCAACGAUGCAUAGCCGACCUGAGAGGGUGAACGGCCACACUGGAAGUGAGACACGGUCCAGACUCCUACGGGAGGCAGCAGUAGGGAAUCUUCCGCAAUGGGCGAAAGCAUGACGGAGCAAAGCCGCGUGAGUGAUGAAGGUCUUCGGAUCGUAAAACUCUGUUAUUAGGGAAGAAAAUAUGUGUAAGUAACAGUGCACAUAUUGACGGUACCUAAUCAGAAAGCCACGGCUAACUACGUG